Molecule: long non-coding RNA, 1975 nt
Organism: Equus caballus (horse)
Lineage: Eukaryota; Metazoa; Chordata; Mammalia; Perissodactyla; Equidae
Source: Ensembl
CUUCAAAGCCAGAGGGCUAUUAAACCUGAUUUAGGCUCAGGAGUCCCCAGCAGUACUGAAAACAGGUCACCUUUAGAAAGAGAUGAGAGCAUCUCAUGAAGGCUGCAGGGUUUCAGUGCAGCAGGGUCUUCUCUUCUGCCUUAGAGGCAAGUCUGAGUUCAGAUGACAUCAAUCACCAACAGAGACAGUGAUCAACAGAAGGAAACAAGCAAGAAACAAGAGUUGCCCUUGACUUCUUGGCCUGAGAACUGGGCAGGACCAAAUGUUCCUGACAGAGAAGUAAUAGGAGCCACAAUUAAAUGCAUCAGCUUCAGAGACACUGGCUAAGUGUAAGAACUGAGAAACAAUCAUGGGUGUUUCAGGGCAGUGCCCCUGCAUGCCUUCCCACCCAUCCCUCAAUUGAUUCUGGGCAGAGGUUCACAUGGGUAGGGAGUAGGAGUGGAUUGAAUGGAAUAGGGAAGGUGAAAUAAAAGAGUUGUAAUACUGAAAGCACUACAGGAAUAUGCAAACACAAAAACAUUCUACCUUUGAGCCUAAAAUCCAACUGGACAUUUGGAAAGUCACUCCAUCAGCGGCCAAGGGACAACCAGAUCUACGCCAGCAGAGGGCGCUGAGGAGAAGGAGAGACGCUCGGCCGCAGAACAGUGUUACUGCCCAGAGCCCACGGGAAGGUGCCCUGAGAAGAGUGCAGGACAGAAGAAAUCAUGUUUACUUAGGGGCUGUUGAAAGCCAUGCAAUGUACACACAACAGUCUAAUGGCAAGGAAAGACCACAGGGCACCGGAGCAAGAGGAUAAGCGAGGCAAACAUGCCCGACACUCAGAGACUCUGCCAGGGAACUGGAGGCCUGUGAAUCCAGGGACCCCGCUGCUGGAGGUUCUGGGAAAGUCUAAUAUAUGGCCAUUCACCAUUGUAGACAGAGACUUCUGAUUGUGCCCAGUCAGUCUGGUAUUGCCGAGAAAACUUUAGUCACACUUUCAUACACAGCCCCUCUGGGGCAGAUCAGAAGAGCUCUCCCUCUCCAUCCAGGAAUGAAACAGGAAUGGAAUAACUGGCCAUGCGGUCCAAGAGAGAGGCAGCCAUGCAGGUGGCUGCAGGAAGAAAGAGUGAAGGCUCCUGUGUGAGGCACGUGGAGCAGAUGGAGCCAUCUGAAUAGGUUUGAGAAGCCACUUCCUAUUCUCUGGCCAAGGAGAAUUAUGGAUUGCAAUGGGGAUACUUGAGCCAGAGCAUGAACAAACAUUAGGAGACAAGCGAGCACUCAAAUGGAGCAGACAGUGAUCAUGGUGAAGAAUUAUCUUGAGAUUCACCGGGGUUUAUCAGAAAGUAAGAAACAUGAGCGGGCAACUGAUUUAAUUGCUAUAAACAAAAAUAAAUAGCAAAGAAGGAACCGGCACACUGAACCAGGACACGACACCACAACAAAAAGCUGGAAGUCGUCUUUCUGAUAUUUUAGUCUCUAACGUCGUGUGCAAGUCUAGAAAGUGUAUUUCUUGGUAUGAGUGAGUACGACGUAAUGGACCGCGUUCCUGCUCGUCUCCGCCCUCUAAACGUGUGGGCUUCCACGGUAAGCCCAACAUCCUCUUCAUUCAGGACCCGGCAGAAGAGUUAAGGGAAGGCGCCGCCAUUUCCCUGAGAAACUGCUUAUUACCAUGAGGACGUGGUUGACGGCGAUUGACAACCCUGCCCACCUGCAUAAACCUUGCCCCUAUUAACACCAGGGGAAAAACCUGUGGGGAGGCCCAUUCUCACUCAUCGCAGCGCGUCUCCAACGCUACUAGCGGACCGCCCUCUAUUCCCUAACCCUUGGGGAAGACCGCCAGGAGCCCCAUCACCCCAUCCAACAGUGCCAGCUCUGUGCUUGUACGCCGCCUAUUUCUUCUACACUCAUCCUCUGGCUGGUGGCGGCAGCAAAUUCCUCCGCAUCUUUGUGAAUGAGGCCUCAUGAAGUCAUUCAAUGAACCUAGAACCUGCACUAA